Molecule: ribosomal RNA, 497 nt
Filed under: uncultured bacterium
Lineage: Bacteria
Description: partial 16S ribosomal RNA
Rfam family: Bacterial small subunit ribosomal RNA
Source: RNAcentral
GAUGAACGCUGGCGGCGUGCCUAAUACAUGCAAGUCGAGCGAACGGACGAGGAGCUUGCUCCUCUGACGUUAGCGGCGGACGGGUGAGUAACACGUGGAUAACCUACCUAUAAGACUGGGAUAACUUCGGGAAACCGGAGCUAAUACCGGAUAAUAUAUUGAACCGCAUGGUUCAAUAGUGAAAGACGGUUUUGCUGUCACUUAUAGAUGGAUCCGCGCCGCAUUAGCUAGUUGGUAAGGUAACGGCUUACCAAGGCAACGAUGCCUAGCCGACCUGAGAGGGUGAUCGGCCACACUGGAACUGAGACACGGUCCAGACUCCUACGGGAGGCAGCAGUAGGGAAUCUUCCGCAAUGGGCGAAAGCCUGACGGAGCAACGCCGCGUGAGUGAUGAAGGUCUUCGGAUCGUAAAACUCUGUUAUUAGGGAAGAACAAAUGUGUAAGUAACUAUGCACGUCUUGACGGUACCUAAUCAGAAAGCCACGGCUAACUACGUG